AUAGCACGUUACAGUUUGCAACAGAUUUUCACUUCCAUUGGACCCUUGCUCCUUGGAACAGCCCUGAGAUGUGGGCUGCACAGAAACCCGCAUUGCGUGUUUGAGGAAACUGAAGCCCACAGAGAUUAAGUGACUUAAGUACACAGAGCAGAGCCGAGACUUGAACUCGGCUUUGCCGAUGGCCAGCACUGGGCUACUUGUGAGUUAAUAUUUAAUCACAUACAGGUUGAGGAGCCGUUAUCCGAAAUAUUUGAAACCAGAAAAGUUUUGGAUUUCGGACUCUUUCAGAUUUGGAGAUACUUACAGAAUACCUGCCAGUUGAACAUCCCCAACCCAAAACUCUAAAAUCUGAGAUGCUCCAAUGAGCAUUUGCUUUGAGCAUCAUGUUGGUGUUCAAAAUGUUCCAGAUUUUGGGUUUCAGAUUUUUGAAAUCCAACCUGUGAUAAUUAAUUUUAAUGACUGCGGCUGCUACUCUUAUAAUCACCACUGCUACAACUGCCACCACCACCACCACUGCUACCACUGUAGAACCAAUGGCAGCAGCAAGGUCUGGUCCUGUGUGGGCCCCUUGAUAGCAGACCUCACCCCAGAUGGAGACGCCAUUACCCAAAGAGAGAAACGGGCUUGGUCAAGGUCUCCAAGCAAGUCUACCCCAGGCUGGGAGGAGGACCACAAGGAUCACUAGGCCACCAGCUGGGACCAAUGCUGACACCACAGGGACAUGCUGGACCCCGGUUCCCACCCCAAGCACCAACCCUGAGAGCCCACUUGGCCAACACCACCACAGGUCCCCUUACCCAUAUGCCCACGGCCACAUUCAGAGCAAAAUACACAGUGAUGACGAUGAUGUCAGCCACGCUCAGCUGCGUCCCGGGAGUGUGGAGGUCGCUGGUGGAGUUGGCGGCCAUGGCUGUCCUGCCGCAGGCACUAGGUAUGAGCCCGAGGGACUGAGGGGCAAACCAGGUCAGAAAGGGUUUCCUGGCAGGGAGCUCAUUGAUCAUUAAACCAAGCGGACAGUGGCAUCUCCAGCCCAUGAUGUGGCUGCAUGCAGGGCAGCUGCCUCACCAUGCAGUUCAGCUUCCUCACCCCAUGGUGGGGUGCAGAUCCCAGAGCGCAGGAGUCAGGGAGCCUGGGAGAAGCAAGUGGGAGGAGGAAAGGAAGGAGCCUCCUUGAACUCGGAGGGGGCUUGGGGAAAAUGAACCGCAUUUAGUGGACCCGGAGGCAGCCCAAAUAGUCCCAGAAAGGCUGGGUUGCUUAAUGGGUGGCUUCACCUAUAUCUAAUUUGUAUAAGAAGCAUAGAGCGUAGGGACAACCGCCUCACCUCUGAAGAUACUGCCGUGGCGGGCAGCCAUGUCCUCCCUUGGCCAUCGGGCUGUGAGUGGACUGAGCAGGGCUUGGGAGGGGGACACCUGCAUUAUGGCUCACGUCCAGCCAACACAGCCCAGGCUCAGAGGCAGCCCCAUGUCGGACAAUAAAGUCCUGCUUCCAG
Molecule: long non-coding RNA, 1489 nt
Organism: Homo sapiens (human)
Lineage: Eukaryota; Metazoa; Chordata; Mammalia; Primates; Hominidae
Source: Ensembl